This 240-nucleotide ribosomal RNA is filed under the name uncultured bacterium. Its description in RNAcentral is "partial 16S ribosomal RNA". It matches the Rfam family "Bacterial small subunit ribosomal RNA", at positions 524 to 762 of the family's 1533-position model. The record is from RNAcentral.
UACGUAGGGUGCAAGCGUUGUCCGGAAUUAUUGGGCGUAAAGAGCUCGUAGGCGGUCUGUUGCGUCGGCUGUGAAAACCCGAGGCUCAACCUCGGGCCUGCAGCCGAUACGGGCAGACUAGAGUUCGGCAGGGGAGACUGGAAUUCCUGGUGUAGCGGUGAAAUGCGCAGAUAUCAGGAGGAACACCGGUGGCGAAGGCGGGUCUCUGGGCCGAUACUGACGCUGGAGGAGCGAAAGCGU